CUCCAGCCUGGGCCGCAGAGCAAGACUCCAUCUCAGAAUAAAUACAUAAAUAAAGACUAGGUCUCCCUAUGUUGCCCAAGCUGGUCUGGAACUUUUGGCAUAAAGAGAUCCAUCUUGGUCUCUCACAGGGCUGGAAUGAUAUGUGCUAUUUUAAAAGUAGACUUUCAAACUUUGUUUCUUUGAGGAAUUUACUUUUUACUUUAUAGUGAACUGGAUCUUUCAAAUCAUCACAGCAAAACAUUACACCAUUCAUACUAGGUGGGGUCUAAGUAAAAGGUCUAAAAUGUAAACAUUUUUCUGUUUAAGGUUUUAAUUUUGAGAUCAUUGUAGAUUGACAUACUGGUGUAAGAAAUAAUAACCUUGUGUGUCUUUCCCCAGUCCCCCAAGGGUAACUUUUUGUAGAAAUGGAGUACAAUUAUCACCAGGAUAUUGACAUUGGUACAGUCUCUCUUUGAUGCAGUCCACCAUCUCAUUCAGAUUUCCCUGCUUUUACUUCUGCUCAUUUGUGUGUGUGUUUAGUUCAUUAACUACAUGGCAUACUUUAUUCAGAACUUAGUGUUUUUUUUUCCUAAUGUCCUUUUUCUGUCUCAGAAUCCCACAUUACUGUGAGACUUCAUGUCCCAAGGGGUUGGGCUCCUCUAGACAGUGACAGUUUCUCAGGCUGUCCUUUUUGGUGACCUUGAGAGUUUUGAGGAAUACUGGUCAUGUGAUUUGUGGAAUGUCCCUGUUUUGGUUUUCUGGUGUUUUUCUCAUGAUUCAGCUGUGGUUAUGGGUUUUGGGAAGGAAGACCACGGAGGGUAAGUGCUCUUCUCAUCCCCUUAUAUUAAGGGUGAUGCUGUCAAGACUGCAUGGCUGAGGUCAUAUUUGCCAGGGUUUCUCCACUGUGGAGUGACUCUUUCCCUCCUUUAUGUACUGUUCGUUUUGGAAGGGAGUCACUCUGGAUGGGUACUUUACUGGGACGGGGAGUUCUGUUCCUCCUCCUGGAGGACGGAGUAGCUACAUAAAUUAUUUGAAAUGUUUCUGUAUGGAAGAUUUGCUGAUCCUUACUCAUUUGUGUUUAUUCAGUUACUCAUAUCAACAUGGACUUGCAGAUAUUGUGUGUAUGCUUUGGGUUAUCAUCCAGUGCUGUGUGGUUUGUUUUGUUGCCCCCGUCAUCUGGCUGUGUCCACUGGGAGCUCUUUCAGCUGGCUCCUGUGUCCCUUUCACAUAGUCACAUUAUUAUUUGUUUGCUGUUUUGAGCACUUCCUUACUUUCUGGAACUACAUGGUGUUCUGAGAUCAUCUAUGUGUUUUCUGCCCCAGCCUUAGACUCCAGCAUUUCUCCAAGGAUCCCCAGUUCCUUUUGUGGGAGAAUGGAAUUAGAAACCAAGAUCUGGGCACUGAUGUGCUCAUUAUUACUGGGAUAUCAUGGCAUCUUGGCCCCCUCAGGGGACAGAGUUGGGAAAACAGGUGUGUAUAUACAAAUGCGUGUAUAUAGACGUCUGUGAUUAUUUUGAUAUAUAUCCAUCUGCAUCCAUAUUAAGCUCUACAUGCGUUCAUGUUGAUGUCUCCAACUCUACAGGGAUUAUUCUAGCCUUGCCCUCCAGCUUACCUGUAACUUCUCUGUCCAGCAGAGAAAAUCCCACUGUGGCUCCUGCUGUCCACAGUCCAUUUACUUAUCUUGUUCCACUUUGGUAUACAUGGAGGUUUCAAAAUUGUUGUCCUGUACUCCUUGGGAAAUGACUUGAUCCCUUAGAGUACUGCGCUCAGGUACAGUUCCUUUCACUUUGAGUCUACAUUCUCCCCUCGUUUCCACAUUACUUAGGUACUUCUCUCCCCGUUUCCACGUUACUUAGGUACUUCUCUCCGCACCCCUCUCUGCAUUGCUGAGUCCUAUACGUGUAAUCCAAUCGGUUUCUUCUGCCUCAGCCUGCAUUCUAUAGGGUCUCAUUAAUUGUUUUUAAAAUCGCAUAGACGAAUGUUUGCUGUUUGUGCUGUAAAGUUCACUGGAUUUGAGAGAGGCAUCCACAGCUACAGUACUGUACAGAACAGUCGCACUGCCCCGCAAAUCCCUGUGCCUCACCUCCUAAGCUCUCCACAACCACCAGUCUCUUCUCCAUCUCUUGAGGUUUUUCCCUUUCCAGAAUGUCAUAUUAUUGGGUUCAUGCAGUCUGCAGCCUUUUCAGACUGGCUUCUUUUGUCUAGCAAUAUUUGUUGAGUGGAUUGAGAGUUCAUGUCUUUGUGUCUUUUGCUGCUAUUUACCAUGUGGCUAUACUGAUAAGUCGUUUAACAAGUCUCUUAAUUUGUAGCUUCUCUUUUCAUUCCUUCCUUCUUACCGUUUUUUUUUUUUUUUUUUUU
This is a long non-coding RNA of Cebus imitator (Panamanian white-faced capuchin), 2336 nucleotides long. RefSeq lists it as uncharacterized. The record is from RefSeq and is a predicted model, not a curated record. Lineage: Eukaryota; Metazoa; Chordata; Mammalia; Primates; Cebidae. The transcript is spliced from 2 exons.